CUUAGCAGGGGAGAUGCAGGCAAGGCUGGUGUUGCAGUUGGAAGGCUGUCUUCGUGGCCUGGGACAACUCCUGCUGGAACAGAGCACUGGAGAUGUGUGGAUAUCAGCCAGGCACAUGCUGUAAUUGCCGGAGGAGCGGUGGGAGCUCUCAUGGGUAGGUGAAGCAAACACCAAGGUUCUGCAGCUGUGAGCAGUUGUUUUCCAGUGACACUGAGGCAACCAUUCUGCAUACUGGAUAUAUCAGCAUCACUAAUUUCGAAGAGACUGAAGAUUUUGCCUACGCUUAGCCACAGCUGCCCUUUCAUCCUGAGACGUUCUUUCCCUUUGGUUUGCAGAUGUAGGCAGCUCAGCUGUCUUUCCACCAGCAUUAGGACAGGAGGAAAAUUAAGCUGUGAACUGGAAUUCCAUCAGGCUGUCUACUGUGAAGCCCUGUGGCUUUAGCAAAGGGGCAGCAGUGGUCAGAAAUGACACUCAAAAGAAAAUGACAUGGAAUUCACAGUGGACUUCCUACUCCUGUGAAAGAAAGGGAGAAGAUGCUUUUGCUUCACACUAUCUUCGCAUCUAAGGAGGCAUCUUUCGGCUACAAAAGUGGAACAAGGAGGCGUUGAGGAAGAUGAGUGCUCGUCUUUAAAGGUGUCCUGGUUUCAGGUUGCUGCUGUUCAGCACUUCUGCAACUUAGACACACACAGAAACGGGAACCCUUUGCAGCCAGUAGUGGAACAUGAGUGUGGACCCUUCAGGCUUUGUCUGAUUUCUUCCUGUUUCUCCAACGUGUUGCUAAAUCAUGGCAAUGGAAGAGCUCAUCUCCAGGCUGCCGAACGCAUGCUGCCUUCCAGUGUUUUGCAAACCAAAGCUCCAGAGACGAAGCGAGCAGCAUAGCGAGAGCUCUGUAACUAUUUUCUACGAGCGAAGCCUCCGGAGCUGCAGCCCCUCACGUGUUUCCAGAGCCCCGGCUCCUGUGCUGUGGCUCGUCCAUCACCGCCCUGCUGUUGCACUGCUGUACACCCCCAGCCCACCUGACGCCUCUUCUGCAGCCCAGGAGCUCCUUCCCCACCACACAUCCACCUCCUUCUGGCCUCGGCAGCCCAGGACAAUCCCAGCAUCCCACGUUCUGAAAAAGGAGUAAAACAGUGAGUGGAAAAGUUGUGCCUGCUGGGAAUGGCGUCUGCCUCACGCCAGUGCCACGACUCCUGAGAGGCCAAGUCAUCGGCACGUGGAGCCCUCACUGCAAAUCCCCAUGCCUGUCCAUCUGUGAUGCUGGUCUUAAGACACAUUCAGAUGAUUUUUGACCUCAAGACUAAGCCAUGUUACAUGUGUGAAAGGCCCAGCAUCUCUGCUCUGAUCCGCAGCACCGCUCCUGUGUACUGAGUAAGUAACUGCAGCCUACUGAUGUAAUAGCAUCCUGCAUAUGUGUCAUAUUAAUGGUAUUUUCCUAAUAGUAAUAGCAUUAAAAGACUGUCUACUUUGCUAUUGAUUUACCCUAUUUAGGAUAAUUUGCCCAGAA
Cygnus atratus (black swan) is the source of this 1504-nucleotide long non-coding RNA. RefSeq lists it as uncharacterized. NCBI's taxonomy places the organism in Eukaryota, Metazoa, Chordata, Aves, Anseriformes, Anatidae. The record is from RefSeq and is a predicted model, not a curated record. The transcript is spliced from 12 exons.